Molecule: ribosomal RNA, 403 nt
Filed under: Fusobacteriota bacterium
Lineage: Bacteria; Fusobacteriati; Fusobacteriota
Description: Fusobacteria bacterium partial 16S ribosomal RNA
Rfam family: Bacterial small subunit ribosomal RNA
Source: RNAcentral
UGGGGAAUAUUGCACAAUGGAGGGAACUCUGAUGCAGCGACGCCGCGUGAACGAAGAAGGCUUUCGAGUCGUAAAGUUCUUUUAUAUGGGAAGAUAAUGACGGUACCAUAAGAAAAAGCUCCGGCUAACUACGUGCCAGCAGCCGCGGUAAUACGUAGGGGGCUAGCGUUGUCCGGAAUCACUGGGCGUAAAGGGUUCGCAGGCGGAAAUGUAAGUCAGGUGUAAAAGGCAGUAGCUUAACUACUGUAAGCAUUUGAAACUGCAUAUCUUGAGAAGAGUAGAGGUAAGUGGAAUUUUUAGUGUAGCGGUGAAAUGCGUAGAUAUUAAAAAGAAUACCGGUGGCGAAGGCGACUUACUGGGCUCAUUCUGACGCUGAGGAACGAAAGCGUGGGUAGCAAACAGG